UACAGAGGGUGCGAGCGUUGUCCGGAAUCACUGGGCGUAAAGGGCGCGUAGGUGGUGGCUUAAGCGUGCGGUGAAAGCUCGGGGCUCAACUCCGAGUCGGCCGUGCGAACUGGGCUCACUGGAGCAUAGUAGAGGCAGGUGGAAUUCCGGGUGUAGCGGUGGAAUGCGUAGAGAUCCGGAAGAACACCGGUGGCGAAGGCGGUCUGCUGGGGUAAUGCUGACACUGAUGCGCGACAGCGUGGGGAGCAAACAGG
Molecule: ribosomal RNA, 254 nt
Filed under: uncultured bacterium
Lineage: Bacteria
Description: partial 16S ribosomal RNA
Rfam family: Bacterial small subunit ribosomal RNA
Source: RNAcentral